UAAGCGGAGGAAAAGAAACUAACAAGGAUUCCCCUAGUAACUGCGAGUGAAGCGGGAAAAGCUCAAAUUUAAAAUCUGGUGGUCUUUGGCCAUCCGAGUUGUAAUUUAGAGAAGCGUCUUCCGCGCUGGACCGUGCACAAGUCUCCUGGAAUGGAGCGUCAUAGAGGGUGAGAAUCCCGUCUUUGGCAUGGACACACCAGGGCUUUUGUGAUGCGCUCUCGAAGAGUCGAGUUGUUUGGGAAUGCAGCUCAAAAUGGGUGGUGAACUCCAUCUAAAGCUAAAUAUUGGCGAGAGACCGAUAGCGAACAAGUACCGUGAGGGAAAGAUGAAAAGCACUUUGGAAAGAGAGUGAAACAGUACGUGAAAUUGUUGAAAGGGAAACGCUUGAAGUCAGUCACGUCGACCGAGACUCAGCCUUGCCUCGGCUUGGUGUACUUCUCGGCUGACGGGUCAGCAUCAAUUUUGCCCCUUGGAUAAUGGCGAGGGAAAUGUGACACCUUUAUGGUGUGUUAUAGUCUCUCGUCGCAUGCAAGGGUUGGGAUUGAGGAACUCAGCACGCGCCCUUUGGGUGUCGGGGCUUUGCCCACGAUACGUGCUUAGGAUGUUGGCAUAAUGGCUUUAAACGACC
This 628-nucleotide ribosomal RNA is filed under the name uncultured Russulaceae. Its description in RNAcentral is "LSU rRNA". It matches the Rfam family "Eukaryotic large subunit ribosomal RNA", at positions 47 to 649 of the family's 3401-position model. The record is from RNAcentral. Lineage: Eukaryota; Fungi; Basidiomycota; Agaricomycetes; Russulales; Russulaceae.